Acanthosepion pharaonis is the source of this 95-nucleotide non-coding RNA. NCBI's taxonomy places the organism in Eukaryota, Metazoa, Mollusca, Cephalopoda, Sepiida, Sepiidae. The record is from the annotation of a GenBank genome assembly.
UUACGGCCACAACACGUUGAAACACCGGUUCCCCUGUGAUCGCCGAAGUUAGGCAACGUUGAGCCUGGUCAGUACCUAAAUGGGUGACUGUCUGG